Molecule: long non-coding RNA, 1334 nt
Organism: Oreochromis niloticus (Nile tilapia)
Lineage: Eukaryota; Metazoa; Chordata; Actinopteri; Cichliformes; Cichlidae
Exons: 2
Source: RefSeq, a predicted model, not a curated record
UCACUGCAACAGAGAAACAGGAAGUCUCAGAAGGUUCAGGGUCUGUUUUUUAACCAAUCAAAGCACUGCUGUUUGGUGGGGCACAUGAAGUCCUGGACUGACAGCACAGGUCGCCUCGCACAGGUGUGUGUAUUAAUGAUGGUAGCAUAAAGCCGUCAUUAGUUUAUCAAUGUACAGCUGGGCUCAGACACACAGGUGGGAGAUCAUGUGACCAGACUGAGCACACUCAUGUCAGGACUGCUGUCCAAUCAGAAUGCAUAACACUGAUUACAUGGCAAAUGCGAGCGGUGUUGGACCGCCUCCUUCCCUCUGCAGCGACACACAGACUCCUGCAGUCAGAGCAACAUCAGAGAGGCGGGGCAUGAAACCUGCCAGUGGCUAACGCCCCCCCCUCAAAAAAAAUAAAAAAAAUAAAAUAAAAUAAACACGAGGGCGGGAUUAAAACGAGGAAAAUCAAGACUCUCUCUCCUGCUUGGCUUUGGCACUCUGACAUCUCUCCUACAUCCUGUUUCCACGGUCACCGUGUCGCAGCCGUCUCCAUUGACGACAGGAUGUCAAGAUGUGCUGCUGCCGACACCACAUCCUCUCACUCACACACAAACACACACACACACACACACACACACACAGGUUUCCUCUGCUUUGUGAUUCAGCCUGCCUGUCAAACAGAUGGUGUGUGUGUGUGUGUGUGUGUGUGUGUGUGUGUGUGUGUGUGUUACUGCUGGCAAAGCAGUGAUGACUCAUGCCCCACACACACACACACACACACACACACACACAGAGAGCUGGAUUUCGGUCCCUCACUGACUGAUUCUCCAUUUUCAGACACUUUCCCCGUUUAAAGGGACGGCGCCGUCUGCGCCUCCGUCCCUUUAAACAGAAUCGGUCAGUCUGACUGCAGGAAGCAGCCACAUCCUCGCUGAGCUUCCUCCGCUUUCAUACGUUACCUACGUGAGAGAUGCAUCGGGGCAAACAGGGAUGCAAACUUUGACAUGCAGGCUGGAGCAGCUGGGAGUCAAACCCACGACCUUCUGAUUGGUAGAUGACCCGCUGCACCUCCUGUACCAUCCCAGCUGUGCCCAAAGACAGUUCUGGUUCUCACCAACUGCACUGUGCUGCAGCAGAACCUGAUUGGCCGCCUCGGUUAACUCAGAGAUACCCACAUUCUGCACAGGAAGUGAGGACAUUAACCUGCAGCUGCAGUCACUGCUAACAUCAACCACCGUGCAAGAUGGGGUGAGGAUGAUCAUGAGCAAGGUGGUGGGAGGAGCUUGUUAAUGAAGACAGUGGGGACCACCGUCACCAAGACCACUGAUCUGUCGUAUUUGGAGAAA